UUUUUGGGUAGGCUGGGCGGUUCGGGGCCGCUUGUAACCCUGAAAUCCUCGUUAUGCAGUUGGAGCCGAAAACCGUUGUGGAGGUGUUCUUUUCAAUGGUUUGGCCCAUGGGAUGGUUGUUUGACGAUCCGUCCUCCGGGAUGUCGCAGGCUGUGAACCGGGUCAGGACCUGGCGGUAGCAGCCCUAAGCAGUCAGUGGCAUGUUCGGAGGGUGGCGGAUCCGAGACUGUGCCGUGGAUUCACCAGCCGUUGAAAGACAUCAACCUUCGGGAACCCGUUGU
RNAcentral lists this signal recognition particle RNA (281 nucleotides) under Candidatus Nanosalina sp. J07AB43. Its description in RNAcentral is "Archaeal signal recognition particle RNA". It matches the Rfam family "Archaeal signal recognition particle RNA". Lineage: Archaea; Methanobacteriati; Methanobacteriota; Candidatus Nanohaloarchaea. The record is from Rfam by way of RNAcentral.